Molecule: small RNA, 83 nt
Filed under: Marmota monax (woodchuck)
Lineage: Eukaryota; Metazoa; Chordata; Mammalia; Rodentia; Sciuridae
Source: RNAcentral
GCUGGGUGUGGUGAUGCACACCUGUAAUUCCAGUGACUUGGGAGGCUGAGGCAGGAAGAUUGCAAGUUCAAAGCCAGCCUCAG